Pieris napi is the source of this 281-nucleotide long non-coding RNA. RefSeq lists it as uncharacterized. The transcript is spliced from 3 exons. The record is from RefSeq and is a predicted model, not a curated record. Lineage: Eukaryota; Metazoa; Arthropoda; Insecta; Lepidoptera; Pieridae.
GAAAUUCCUAUCCCCACCACCAGGGCGAUGAACACAAAGGUGACACUGAAGACGCUUAACAGGCAAGAGUUGCUUGAUGUUGAAGACGCAAUAAAGCAACUGUUGAGCAACGUGAAUGCUAUCACAUCCUCUGAGAAUCAAACAGAUGUCAACAUUUUACGCUUUUUGAGAAUAAGAAGAGAAGAAUUAACCACGGAUGUAACAGACACAACGGAAAUGACGGAGAGUACAGUGUCAACUAUACCUACAGCCAGAUAUCCAAUCGAUGUGCCAGCUCUUCU